Molecule: ribosomal RNA, 251 nt
Filed under: uncultured bacterium
Lineage: Bacteria
Description: partial 16S ribosomal RNA
Rfam family: Bacterial small subunit ribosomal RNA
Source: RNAcentral
GCAAGUCGAGGGGUAACAGGGGUAGCAAUACCUGCUGACGACCGGCGCACGGGUGCGUAACGCGUAUGCAAUCUACCUUAUACAUGGGGAUAGCCACGGGAAACUGUGAUUAAUACCUGAUAUUACCUUUUUAUGGCAUCAUUUAAAGGUGAAAGCUGAGGCGGUAUAAGAUGAGCAUGCGUGACAUUAGUUAGUUGGUGAGGUAACGGCUCACCAAGGCUAUGAUGUCUACGGGGUCUAAAAGGAUGAUC